This 279-nucleotide ribosomal RNA is filed under the name uncultured bacterium. RNAcentral describes it as "partial 16S ribosomal RNA". It matches the Rfam family "Bacterial small subunit ribosomal RNA", at positions 506 to 784 of the family's 1533-position model. The record is from RNAcentral.
UGCCAGCCGCCGCGGUAAUACGUAGGGGGCAAACGUUGUCCGGAUUUACUGGGUGUAAAGGGCGCGCAGGCGGACUUGUAAGUCAGAGGUGAAAUCCUACAGCUUAACUGUAGAACUGCCUUUGAUACUGCGAGUCUUGAAUUUGGAAGAGAGAGAUGGAAUUCCAGGUGUAGUAGUGAAAUACGUAGAUAUCUGGAAGAACACCAGAGGCGAAGGCGGUCUCUUGGUCCAUAAUUGACGCUGAGGCGCGAAAGCGUGGGGAGCGAACAGGAUUAGAUA